AUACUUUGGCAGCAAUAUAUACUACGAUUGGAAUGAUAGAGAGAAGAUUAGCAUGGCCCCUGUAAAAUGCUGGCAUACAAAUUCAUGAAACAUUCCAUUUUUUU
Molecule: small nuclear RNA, 104 nt
Organism: Arvicola amphibius (Eurasian water vole)
Lineage: Eukaryota; Metazoa; Chordata; Mammalia; Rodentia; Cricetidae
Source: RefSeq, a predicted model, not a curated record